Long non-coding RNA from Tupaia belangeri chinensis (Chinese tree shrew), 1295 nucleotides. RefSeq lists it as uncharacterized. The transcript is spliced from 4 exons. The record is from RefSeq and is a predicted model, not a curated record. Lineage: Eukaryota; Metazoa; Chordata; Mammalia; Scandentia; Tupaiidae.
ACCACGGCGUCGCGUUGGCAGCCUCUCCCUUGCAUAAGCUGAGGGCCAAGUUACUCAAGACCAGCCAUCGAUCCCUCCCACACCCAGCCCGCAUCGGUGUGGGUGUCAGUGUCGUCAUCAUCAUUUAAAGUCCCGCACCGGGGGUGUCUCCCACCCCGUUUGGAGACUGGCUUUGUUCUCAGCAAGGGCAAUAGGGGAGUUGGCUCUGGCUCCGAUUUGCUGAGUGCCCUCAAUACCACGCUUUACCUGUCCCCUUUGAGGUGUUGUCAUUCCCACUUUACAGUUGAGGAGACGGAGGCUCAGGGGACCCACAUGGCCCAACUAGUCACUCCCAGUCCUGCUUCCUCAUCGUUUCCGGUGGGUCUCGCUGCCUCUGGGGACCCUUGGAGUUCUUGUAAAUGAAAGACCAUUAGCCUGGAACCAAAUGUCCCAGGAGCCAGGACAGUGACAGAGAGAGGACGGCCAUGUGACGUGGGAAGGGGUCCCUCGUCACUCUGUCAACAAAGGCAAUACUCAGCUCCAGCUGGUUGCUGCCUGUGGGGACAUGGGCCCCGUUUGGCCAGAUCUUGUUCGAGAGAACUUGAAGUUUUUCACGUUUUGUGUGAAGCCUACUGACUCGAAAAUGAUAUUGGUUUACAUUCCAUUUACAUGAAAUGUGCAGAGCAGGCCCAGGUGAGCCACGGGAAGUUCGUGCAUUGCGGCCAAGCAGGGGCAUGUUUCCCGGCCCACACCUGUUGACCUCUCUCCUGAAAUGAAGAUGAGGAGGCUGUGGCUGUUUGGAAGAGGCAUGCAGAGCACGCCAUCUACACCCUCCAGAUCUUGGCCAGCUUCCCGAGCAAAGGCUUCCUCCCAGCGGAACGAACCAGAACAGCCAGAAAGGGCAGGGGCACGGUCGUCCGCUCACCUGCUCGCUUGCAAUCCUCCAAACACGCAAACAUCUGAAGACUCAAGAAUAAAUGUGCCAGAAACUGCUAGAAGCUCAGCGUGGUCGGAACGGCGGCGUGGAUGUGGAGGGCCGAGUUCCAGCGCCACGCAAUCUCUGACCCGUACAUACGGCCGCGCUCGACAAAUGUUUGCUGGACGACCGCGGGAAGAUGUCAGCGAGGGCACGAUCACCCUCGCGCUGGGGGCGGGUCUGCACGCGUGGCGGAGCCAGGAACCGCUCCACCCUGCACGCCUCUGCUGAGUCACAGCGGGACCACGUGUUCCAGCAGGGGUGUGGCUCCCGGUGGCCCCGCCCCGGCCCCGCCUCCUGUUCCUCUCCGCGCUCGCGGACGGCCGCGGGGGUUUUGACC